RNAcentral lists this ribosomal RNA (484 nucleotides) under Micrixalus saxicola (small torrent frog). RNAcentral describes it as "partial 16S ribosomal RNA". It matches the Rfam family "Bacterial large subunit ribosomal RNA", at positions 1959 to 2612 of the family's 2925-position model. The record is from RNAcentral. Lineage: Eukaryota; Metazoa; Chordata; Amphibia; Anura; Micrixalidae.
GCAUAAUCACUUGUUUCCUAAAUAGAGACUAGUAUCAACGGCAUCACGAGGGUUAAACUGUCUCCCACCCCCCAUCAGUGAAACUGAUCUCCCCGUGAAGAAGCGGGGAUACAGCUAUAAGACGAGAAGACCCUAUGGAGCUUCAGGCAAUGCAGGCACCAUUACAAAACAAAACCACACAUAUACUAAAUCUGCCUGCCAGCCUUAGGUUGGGGCGACCGCGGAGUAAAAUAAAACCUCCACAACAAACAGGACUACACCUUAAUCCAAGAGCCACCACUCCAAGAAUAGAUAAAUCAAUGUAAUAUGACCCGAUAAUCGAUCAAUGAACCAAGUUACCCUAGGGAUAACAGCGCAAUCCAUUUCUAGAGCCCAUAUCAACAAAUGGGUUUACGACCUCGAUGUUGGAUCAGGGUAUCCCAGUGGUGCAGCCGCUACUAAAGGUUCGUUUGUUCAACGAUUAAAACCCUACGUGAUCUGUUUC